AAAGGCUUCUGCAUAAAUUGAAUUUUCCACACAAGUAACAUGAUAAACACAAGAAACAAAUCACAAUGAUAAAGAAUAAUUGUAUGAUCUGAUCCCAUCUAAGUGUCAUACUCAAAACAGAAAACUCAUCAGCUAUUGAAUAUGCCCAUAAAGCAACAGACAAUUUCAGCAACUGAAACAUUUAAAAAUGAGAAUAAUCCUACUUUGAAUUGAGACACAAGUGAGAAUGAUUUGGGGCUUUCAGUCCUAUUUUAAAUUGCAUAUUUUGUCCAGUGAAAGAUUCAAAUUCAUGAAAUUAGUGUAAUGACCAUCCAGUGGUCUCAUUUUCACGUUGCAAUUCACAAUCCAUUGGUAAUUGGUAUUCUGAACUAAAGCAUUCCCCAAAAGCAACCACACACGCAGAGCAGAAAUAUUAAACAUUCUUUCAAAAACAAAGUCAGUUAGGCAUGCACGCGCGCACACACACAUAGCAGAAACAUUAAACAUUCUUUCAAGAAUAAAGGUGAAGCAAGUUAAUACAUUUCUGUAUUAAAAGAACUUGACAUAAAUUCAGUUAGGCAAAGGUUAGGUUCUGGUGGUGAGUAACUGAGUAUAUCAUUUACGCAAAGUUGAAGACUUGAAAGGUUUGAGAAAUUGGGAGAAACCACUGAAUAAAAAAUAGCACUAAUUCUACAUCUAAAAUUUGAACCAAAGUUACAAAUAGCUAUUGGAUGCAAAAUAACAACUAUUCAAUGUCCCUGUCAUUCCAUCAAUCAAGUAAAGCUUAAAAGUAUUCCUAGUAAGACAAUUUGGCUUCAUCAUUGUUGGAAUUGAUGAGAUUUUU
Molecule: unclassified non-coding RNA, 823 nt
Filed under: Hevea brasiliensis (rubber tree)
Lineage: Eukaryota; Viridiplantae; Streptophyta; Magnoliopsida; Malpighiales; Euphorbiaceae
Source: RNAcentral